Small nuclear RNA from Callithrix jacchus (white-tufted-ear marmoset), 107 nucleotides. The record is from Ensembl. NCBI's taxonomy places the organism in Eukaryota, Metazoa, Chordata, Mammalia, Primates, Cebidae.
GUGCUCCAUUCGGCAGCAUAUAUACUAAAAUUGGAACGAUACAGAGAAGAUCAGCAUGGCCCCUGCGCAAGGAUGACACGAAAAUUCGUGAAGCGUUCCCUAUUAUA